CCUACGGGAGGCAGCAGUAAGGAAUAUUGGUCAAUGGAGGCAACUCUGAACCAGCCAUGCCGCGUGCAGGAAGAAGGCCCUAUGGGUCGUAAACUGCUUUUGUACCAGAGAAAACCCGAGUACGUGUACUCGGUUGAUAGUAUGGUAAGAAUAAGCAUCGGCUAACUUCGUGCCAGCAGCCGCGGUAAGACGAAGGAUGCAAGCGUUAUCCGGAUUCAUUGGGUUUAAAGGGUGCGUAGGCGGACUGAUAAGUCAGUGGUGAAAUCUCUCGGCUUAACCGAGAAACUGCCAUUGAUACUGUUAGUCUAGAGUAUAGAUGACGUUGGCGGAAUAUGACAUGUAGUGGUGAAAUACUUAGAUAUGUCAUAGAACACCGAUUGCGAAGGCAGCUAACGAAACUAUAACUGACGCUGAGGCACGAAAGUGCGGGGAUCAAACAGGAUUAGAUACCCUGGUAGUCCGCACCGUAAACGAUGAUUACUCGUUGUUGGCAAUAUGACCGUCAGCGACCAAGCGAAAGCGAUAAGUAAUCCACCUGGGGAGUACGCCGGCAACGGUGAAACUCAAAGGAAUUGACGG
This 579-nucleotide ribosomal RNA is filed under the name uncultured bacterium. RNAcentral's name for it is "bacterial SSU rRNA". It matches the Rfam family "Bacterial small subunit ribosomal RNA", at positions 338 to 916 of the family's 1533-position model. The record is from RNAcentral.